Molecule: long non-coding RNA, 815 nt
Organism: Sarcophilus harrisii (Tasmanian devil)
Lineage: Eukaryota; Metazoa; Chordata; Mammalia; Dasyuromorphia; Dasyuridae
Exons: 4
Source: RefSeq, a predicted model, not a curated record
CAAAAGGCUCCAGCAAUUCAAUUGACAGAGUAUAGCAGGAGCCCUCUGACAUAUUAGCACAAAUUAGUAGACCAGAUUAACCAGUGGUCACCUCAGGUCCAAGAGGGUAAGAAACACAAGGAGAAUAUGGCCAGGACAAGAUGUGAGGCUGGGAACCAGAGAGAGAGAGAGACAACCUCAAGUUGAUAAGCAAGGAAGUGGGAAGAAAUACUCAGCUUAGCAGGAUGGACACCAAAGAGAAGACAGAAGCAGACUUCUGAAGGAAGAGAAGGUGGAAACUGUUGGACUACUGGUUCUGCUGGAAUAUGACCUGGGGACACAGAAAUAGUAAUAAAAAGCACACAGAUAGUACUAAGUGAAUGGAAAAGGGACUCUGGUGAAGAUAAGGCCCAACAGAAAAAACAAAAACAAAAAAAAAGCCUUCUGGAUAAAGUCAGAAGAGGACAACAGUUUUGACAAUUCUAUGUCAAAUUCAUUAUAUUCCUGAAAGGCUGAUAUGUCUGAUACUGACCACCUUAAGAAACCAAAGUAUCACAGAACUCUGAAAUCUUGGGUCAUUUUCCUGGAAGAGAAUUCAGACCCUCCCUUCUAUCUUUGCAUCCCACCAGAAGACCAUAAAAGAAAUAGAAGUAUGGCAGAAAUAUGAAACAUGAUUUUCAGCUGAGAGAGUAGGGGUAAGAGAAGCCAGAGAAGGUUUGAGGAAGAAUCAAAAGGUUUAGAAAAGUCACUGUAGUGGGUAGAAAACUGAAUCAAUUAGAUAUGGGUAAAAGCUAUUCCUAGCCAUAGUAAAGACCAAAUUAAAAUUCUGUGACUUA